CCAAGGUAAGUGAUAGGUAACUGUGUUUGCUUGCAGUCUAAAACCACACUGAAAUCUUCAUUUCUGGAGCUGUUUUCCUAUAAAACCAUCUCAGAUUUUUGGAGAUUUAUAUUUAAACUGAAGACAACAGUAAUCCCUUUAAUCAAGUUCAAUGAUUUUUCUUUCUCAAUAAGUUGAUUCAGUGCCGCCGUCACAAUAAUGAAUAAGAUUGGAGAAAGGGGAUCCUUUUGCCGGAGGCCUCUAGAGGCA
This 249-nucleotide long non-coding RNA is filed under the name Carica papaya (papaya). RNAcentral describes it as "long non-coding RNA (CPAP_LNC009580)". Lineage: Eukaryota; Viridiplantae; Streptophyta; Magnoliopsida; Brassicales; Caricaceae. The record is from RNAcentral.